GGGUGUAAAAAAGUAAGAAACAGAUCUAAAGUAAAUGCGUUGCCGAUAGAAGAAGGAUUCGGUAUUUACCUCUGGGAUGAAGUUCUGUGUGGUCGGCGUGGUCGCCGGUGCAGAUGCGGACGAUGAGGCUGUGAUGGGGAUCGCCAUUGGGAUCUUCGAUGAAGCUCCUUCUUCUGUGGAUGGAGCAACGGCCGUCGCCACUACCGCCAGAGGCGCCACUUCCGGAACAUCGCGCGCUGGAGAGCUGCCGGAGGGAGCCGCCAUUGGGGAAGAAGGGGAGAAGUAACAGGAGGUUGGCGCUAGAAAGCUUCGGCGGCAAGGGAAGGAUGCUGAAGAAAGAAGAGGGCGCGCGUGCUGGAAAAGAGAGACGUGAGCUUGAAGAAGAAGUGCGGGGUGAAGCGCUAUUUAAAGGAUGCCUGAAGGAGGGUAAAAAUGGAAUUUUC
Molecule: long non-coding RNA, 443 nt
Filed under: Setaria viridis
Lineage: Eukaryota; Viridiplantae; Streptophyta; Magnoliopsida; Poales; Poaceae
Description: long non-coding RNA (SVIR_LNC006902)
Source: RNAcentral